This 381-nucleotide long non-coding RNA is filed under the name Oryza brachyantha (malo sina). Its description in RNAcentral is "long non-coding RNA (OBRA_LNC000320)". The record is from RNAcentral. Lineage: Eukaryota; Viridiplantae; Streptophyta; Magnoliopsida; Poales; Poaceae.
UCCUGAAUUUUCAUAGGUACUUGACGCCGUCCAGUCCAGCAGGGCAGGCGAGGGCCGGACCGCACCGCCGCCGGAGACCAGACCGGACCGGACUGGACGACCUCUCCUCCGACUCCGGCUCCGAUCCGCCGCCGACCUCCGAGAGGUAAAGCCCGCCUCCUUCACUCGUGCUUGUGCCGGCCAACCAAUCGCCUCAAUAGUACCCUAUCCACAGCCACAGGGAUGGGGAUGGAUGAUGCAGCUAGCGCGUAGGGUAUAGACCUCGUUGGGAUCUUGCUUGUCUUCGCCAUGGCCACCAAGUCGUUUCUCCCUCCCCCAUUCUCCUCUUCCCCGACGCAGCCUCCUCCCGCCCUCGCCCUCGCCCUCCCCAGCGCCCGCCGC